RNAcentral lists this ribosomal RNA (915 nucleotides) under uncultured archaeon. RNAcentral describes it as "bacterial SSU rRNA". It matches the Rfam family "Archaeal small subunit ribosomal RNA", at positions 1 to 922 of the family's 1478-position model. The record is from RNAcentral.
UUCCGGUUGAUCCCGCCGGAGGUCACUGCUAUCGGGGUUCGAUUAAGCCAUGCGAGUCGAGAGGGUUCAGACCCUCGGCGGACUGCUCAGUAACACGUGGAUAAUCUGCCCUAUGGUGGAGGAUAACCCCGGGAAACUGGGGAUAAUACUCCAUAAGUCAGGAGUACUGGAAUGUCUCCUAACUGAAAGUUGCGGCGCCAUAGGAUGAAUCUGCGGCCGAUUAGGUAGUUGUUGGGGUAACGGCCCAACAAGCCCGUAAUCGGUACGGGUYGUGGGAGCAAGAGCCCGGAGAUGGAAUCUGAGACACGAUUCCAGGCCCUACGGGGCGCAGCAGGCGCGAAAACUUUACAAUGCAGGAAACUGUGAUAAGGGAAACCCCGAGUGCCCGUACACGCGGGCUGUCCCGGUGUUUAAAACACAUCGGAAGAAAGGGCCGGGCAAGACCGGUGCCAGCCGCCGCGGUAAUACCGGCGGCUCGAGUGGUGACCACUUUUAUUGGGCUUAAAGCGUUCGUAGCUUGAUUUUUAAGUCUCUUGGGAAAUCUCACGGCUUAACUGUGAGGCGUCUAAGAGAUACUGGGAAUCUAGGGACCGGGAGAGGUAAGAGGUACUUCAGGGGUAGAAGUGAAAUUCUGUAAUCCUUGAGGGACCACCGAUGGCGAAGGCAUCUUACCAGAACGGCUUCGACAGUGAGGAACGAAAGCUGGGGGAGCGAACGGGAUUAGAUACCCCGGUAGUCCCACCCGUAAACUAUGCGCGUUAGGUGUGCCUGUAACUACGAGUUACCGGGGUGCCGAAGUGAAAACGUGAAACGUGCCGCCUGGGAAGUACGGUCGCAAGGCUGAAACUUAAAGGAAUUGGGCGGGGGAGCACCACCACGGGUGGAGCCUGCGGUUUAAUUGGAUUCAACGCCGGG